AGAGUUUGAUCAUGGCUCAGAACGAACGUUAGCGGCGCGCCUAACACAUGCAAGUCGCACGAGAAAGGGCUUCGGCCCCGGUACAGUGGCGCACGGGUGAGUAACACGUGGGUAACGUUCCCUCUGGCGGGGGAUAACCUUCCGAAAGGAGGGCUAAUACCGCAUAAGACCACGGCUUCGAAGGAAGCUGAGGUAAAAGC
RNAcentral lists this ribosomal RNA (200 nucleotides) under uncultured bacterium. Its description in RNAcentral is "partial 16S ribosomal RNA". It matches the Rfam family "Bacterial small subunit ribosomal RNA", at positions 8 to 207 of the family's 1533-position model. The record is from RNAcentral.